This is a long non-coding RNA of Lepisosteus oculatus (spotted gar), 1370 nucleotides long. RefSeq lists it as uncharacterized. The record is from RefSeq and is a predicted model, not a curated record. Lineage: Eukaryota; Metazoa; Chordata; Actinopteri; Semionotiformes; Lepisosteidae.
ACCGUUAGAAAUGUUUCAGCCUUGAUCUCUUAACAACAUUCAGCUACAGAUUAACUCCCGAGACCAGAGUCAGCAGAGAGCAACAAGUAACUCAUAAAGAGUUCGCUGUAUUUAUGUUGGCUAAAGUAACAUUGUCAGUUUUGUACACGUAAUACUGUAGGAAAAUGUAUUGAAUGUGUUUAUUUGGAAAAGAACAGGCCGUGGAAACGCAACCUGGGACAGGAAACGCAGAUUGAACUGCAAGUGCUUUGUCCAGAGCCACCGUUCAUAGGAGCUAAUACCCUGGAAUUUUGCUGAUGUCAUAUGGACCUUUCCCUGGCAUUUGUAACUUAUAAUUCUCCAGAGCUGAUUAUUAUAAUGAAAGGGGAAACCUGCUCAAUUUUCAUUACCUUGUACGUCACAACCAAGACUGAAAAAAUAAAUUGUUUAAAGUCCUUCUAAUCAGCACACUGUAUAGGCUUUCCCUGAAUGUAAUGACAAGCAGAAGUGUAUAAGUGUUACUUCAGGCUUUUAUAACAUCAUGCAAAUAAUUAAAACAGAUCACAUGAAGAUUUGCUUUCACACACUUCUCCAUUUUAGGUUUCUCUUGUGCAAGAACAUUUUCUUUUGUCUGUACAUUUGGUAAAGCAGUGAAACCCAUAAAAGUAAUAAUUUAUGCAGUAUACAAAGAAUUAAAUAUCCUGUAAACAUUGUUCUCAUUCACCAGAAAGCAGCAGUCCUAUUUUUGUAGCCAAACCAUUUUAUUAUUUAGUAAGAUUGGAAAGCUGUGAAAAGCUUUUGCACUGACAGGGUGAAUGUUUACAGCUGUCUUAGACAAAACAGUGACUGAUGGUCAACAAACGAUGUUAGCAGCAGGCACUGUAAUUGUUCAUUCAGGCAUUUACUAAAAUGUACAUGCUCAGGACAUUAAAAAAUUAAUUAUACAAAGACAAAAAUUAAUUAUACAGGUGUAGACACACCCUGUCCCCGGAUUUCAACCCUACUGAAAACUCCUGGAAUUCAAGAAAACAUGCAGUUCAAUCCUACACAUGAUUACCCCUCAUCAUAACCUCAAUUGAAGGUCAUCCUUCUGGAAAAAUGGGAUGGGACUGGACUGCAAAUAUUUCAGAACCUAGUGACCGUGUGCCAAUUCCUGGUGAAGCUGUUCUUAUUUCUCACAAAGUCUCAAUACAGUUGUACUUGGUUUGCUACCAUUUUGGUCUGAGAUUGUACAUCAUAUCAACCACCAACAGAGACUUGAGGACAAUUUACUGUUUGAACAAAUGUGUAACGCCAUUAUAUAUGACAUAACCCUGAUCUUGUGGUGACUAUGAAAAAUGCUUAAAUAGCCAAACACUAACCCAAUUCCUGUUGAAAGGAAUUAAAAUCUA